AGAGCGAACGCUGGCGGCAGGCCUAAUACAUGCAAGUCGAGCGCACCUUCGGGUGAGCGGCGGACGGGUGAGUAACGCGUGGGAAUAUGCCCUUUGGUACGGAACAACUGAGGGAAACUUCAGCUAAUACCGUAUGUGCCCUUCGGGGGAAAGAUUUAUCGCCAUUGGAGUAGCCCGCGUUGGAUUAGGUAGUUGGUGAGGUAAAGGCUCACCAAGCCUACGAUCCAUAGCUGGUCUGAGAGGAUGAUCAGCCACACUGGGACUGAGACACGGCCCAGACUCCUACGGGAGGCAGCAGUGGGAAUCUUGCACAAUGGGCGAAAGCCUGAUGCAGCGACGCCGCGUGCGGGAUGACGGCCUUCGGGUUGUAAACCGGCUUUCAGCAGGGACGAUUAUGACGGUACCUGCAGAAGAACGCCCCGGCCAACUACGUGCCAGCAGCCGC
Molecule: ribosomal RNA, 445 nt
Filed under: uncultured bacterium
Lineage: Bacteria
Description: SSU rRNA
Rfam family: Bacterial small subunit ribosomal RNA
Source: RNAcentral